GAUCAUGGCUCAGGAUGAACGCUAGCUACAGGCUUAACACAUGCAAGUCGAGGGGCAGCAUGGUCUUAGCUUGCUAAGGCCGAUGGCGACCGGCGCACGGGUGAGUAACACGUAUCCAACCUGCCGUCUACUCUUGGACAGCCUUCUGAAAGGAAGAUUAAUACAAGAUGGCAUCAUGAGUUCACAUGUUCACAUGAUUAAAGGUAAUUCCGGUAGACGAUGGGAG
Molecule: ribosomal RNA, 226 nt
Filed under: uncultured bacterium
Lineage: Bacteria
Description: partial 16S ribosomal RNA
Rfam family: Bacterial small subunit ribosomal RNA
Source: RNAcentral